AUGAUAUAUGAUCAUUCAUGGGCAGUCUCCCAGGAAUUAAAACCCAGCGGCAAACUUGGACUUGAGAAGUUCCACGACCCCGGCCUCUACCCGGAGCGCCUUGGUGAGCACCGGCAUCGGGAUGGGUGGGUUGGAGCCGAAGAGCGUGAGUGGCACGAAGACGAUGCCGGGGUUCUGGCUGUUGAAGGAGACGACCAUGGAGGCCUCGGUCUUCCCGACAUUGAACUGGAAGUGCAUGAGGCCCCGCGGGAUGAGGAACGUCUCUCCGGCGCGCACCACCCUGGAGUAGAGCUUGUUCCCAGAGUCAAGGCUGCUGAGGAUUCCCACGAGGAGCUCACCUUUCAUCACGAUGCCGAUCUCGGUGGCACGCGGGUGGAUGUGUGGCGGGUUGGUGCCUCCGGGCGCAAAGUCCACGCGGUUCAUGGACACGCCCAGCGUGUUUGUGCCGGGCCACUCUGCCACAUCGAGCUCCGUCACGGCCGAGCCGUUAGGAGUGGACGUGUUGCCAGCCUUGGCCAGCUUGGAUGA
This 528-nucleotide ribosomal RNA is filed under the name Triticum aestivum (bread wheat). RNAcentral describes it as "partial small subunit ribosomal RNA". Lineage: Eukaryota; Viridiplantae; Streptophyta; Magnoliopsida; Poales; Poaceae. The record is from RNAcentral.